RNAcentral lists this unclassified non-coding RNA (445 nucleotides) under Hevea brasiliensis (rubber tree). Lineage: Eukaryota; Viridiplantae; Streptophyta; Magnoliopsida; Malpighiales; Euphorbiaceae. The record is from RNAcentral.
CAAAAACACAAGUGAAUAGAUUUUGAGCUGGGUCAAGUAUCAAAAGCCACACCUAUUAUGAUUUUAUGCUACUAACAGGGCACUAAAUCCAUAGAGCUCCAGCGUCAAUAAGCAAAGGGAUGAGCUGGUUCUGUACGUGGAGGCUCAUCACCUGCCUUUCACCACCAAUCAAUUUUUGCCCUAUGAACACAGCUGGUACACUUGGUUGACACCCCUGCUGCACCAGUGCCCUUUCAAUUUGCUGCCCAUUUGGGAUUCUGUCAAGCUCGUAAACUGUUGGAUUGGCUCCAAAUCCACAUAUGAGUGCCUUAAUGGAGUGGCUCAUGCAACAAGAACUCUUGCUGAAAAUCACUACUGGCUUUUCCUUAACCAACCUAUUCACAGUAUCCAUUGCUACAAAUUAAGUGUAGGAAUUGGCAGUGUUAGUAUGCUAUAUUGAUAGGGG